GAUUGACCUCGGAUCAGGUAGGGAUACCCGCUGAACUUAAGCAUAUCAAUAAGCGGAGGAAAAGAAACCAACAGGGAUUGCCUCAGUAACGGCGAGUGAAGCGGCAACAGCUCAAAUUUGAAAUCUGGCUCCUUCGGGGCCCGAGUUGUAAUUUGUAGAGGACGUUUCGGGUGCGGCCCGGUCUAAGUCCCUUGGAACAGGGCGUCAUAGAGGGUGAGAAUCCCGUAUGUGACCGGUGACCAACCCCAUGUGAAACCCCUUCGACGAGUCGAGUUGUUUGGGAAUGCAGCUCAAAAUGGGUGGUAAAUUCCAUCUAAAGCUAAAUACUGGCCAGAGACCGAUAGCGCACAAGUAGAGUGAUCGAAAGAUGAAAAGCACUUUGGAAAGAGAGUCAAACAGUACGUGAAAUUGUUGAAAGGGAAGCGCUGGCAACCAGACCUGCCCCGGGCGAUCAGCGGGUGUUCUCACCCGUGCACUCGCCCGCGAUCAGGCCAGCAUCGGUUUCGGCGGUCGGAUACAGACCCGGGGAACGUGGCUCUCUUCGGGGAGUGUUAUAGCCCCGGGUGCAAUGCGGCCAGCCGGGACCGAGGACCGCGCUUCGGCUAGAUGCUGGCGUA
Molecule: ribosomal RNA, 617 nt
Filed under: Sphaerophorus globosus
Lineage: Eukaryota; Fungi; Ascomycota; Lecanoromycetes; Lecanorales; Sphaerophoraceae
Description: LSU rRNA
Rfam family: Eukaryotic large subunit ribosomal RNA
Source: RNAcentral